GUGGGGAAUAUUGGACAAUGGGCGAAAGCCUGAUCCAGCCAUGCCGCGUGUGUGAAGAAGGUCUUCGGAUUGUAAAGCACUUUAAGUUGGGAGGAAGGGCAGUAAGUUAAUACCUUGCUGUUUUGACGUUACCGACAGAAUAAGCACCGGCUAACUUCGUGCCAGCAGCCGCGGUAAUACGAAGGGUGCAAGCGUUAAUCGGAAUUACUGGGAGUAAAGCGCGCGUAGGUGGUUUUGUAAGUUGGAGGUGAAAUCCCCGGGCUCAACCUGGGAACUGCCUCCAAAACUGCAUGACUAGAGUACGGUAGAGGGUAGUGGAAUUUCCUGUGUAGCGGUGAAAUGCGUAGAUAUAGGAAGGAACACCAGUGGCGAAGGCGACUACCUGGACUGAUACUGACACUGAGGUGCGAAAGCGUGGGGAGCAAACAGGAUUAGAAACCCCUGUAGUCC
RNAcentral lists this ribosomal RNA (450 nucleotides) under uncultured bacterium. Its description in RNAcentral is "partial 16S ribosomal RNA". It matches the Rfam family "Bacterial small subunit ribosomal RNA", at positions 354 to 796 of the family's 1533-position model. The record is from RNAcentral.